ACCCUCCUCAGAGAUUCCUUGUCGCUCACACCUGAAUAGUGGUCUGAGUGGCUGGAAAAAAAGGAGGCAGAGUAGAACUGAAACCAACAUGGCAUCUUUGGUGGCAAACAAGU
Molecule: small nucleolar RNA, 113 nt
Filed under: Echinops telfairi (small Madagascar hedgehog)
Lineage: Eukaryota; Metazoa; Chordata; Mammalia; Afrosoricida; Tenrecidae
Description: Small nucleolar RNA SNORA61 (ENSETEG00000026827.1)
Source: RNAcentral